Molecule: long non-coding RNA, 1077 nt
Filed under: Equus asinus (donkey)
Lineage: Eukaryota; Metazoa; Chordata; Mammalia; Perissodactyla; Equidae
Description: lncRNA (ENSEASG00005027590.1)
Source: RNAcentral
CACAGCUUCUGGCACCAAGGACUUAACCAUGUUGGAUCCAAAAGUGGGCCUGAAAACCUGAAGCAUAUGCUUCACAGCUGGGCUGUAAGUCGGACUUGACCCCAGCUGACAUGCAAGGUCAUGGUGUGCCCGAGGUGGUGACAGUGAACAAAGUGUAUAUGAUGUGCCCAGUGGUAGCAAAGGAAAAAAGCAUACCAAAUGGACUUUGAAGGACCAAAGGUUUUAAAAGUCGAUUGGUAUCACCCCCACACUGAUAGAGUAGUGGGGUGCAUUUGGUUUUCAAAUUGGGUACUUUUAACACUUUAGUGCCUGACUGCUGUUCUUCACUGACUUGACUCAGUCACUCGUAGCUUUAUUGGUCUGAACCAGCUCCUUGUUCCCAGGUUGCAGACCUGCCUAUCGUUCCAAUAAUCCUGUUUCACUUGAAUGAAGGGAGUAUGUCUUAAAUGUAAAGCUUCUGGUUCUCACACUGUACUCUGAGGUCCAAAUGACUGUUUGUUGAUGUAUAACCUGAUGUCUCAACCCCCAGUGAGAAGAGUCACUUCUUUGGUAUUCACCGACGCGGGAGGCUUCACCGGAACAGGCGUUUGCUUUGGGCUCUGCUGUUUGUUUGCAGAACACCCAAGAGUGAGCAAACAUGCUCUCUUCACAGCAGUACCUUAGGGUUUUGCCAUUGUAAAUGGGUCUAAUGUGAUAUGACAAGACCAGAGAAAUUGGAUGUAAAUUUACAUUUUUGAAUAUGCUUGUUGUUUCACAUGAUACAUUUAGGGUAUGCAGCUCCUUUUGUAGUUUUUAUUUUUACUAUUUAAGUUUGGAAAUGAUGCCAAAUUUUUGUAUUUCUUUAAUCAAUGUGUUCUCUUCGGUGAUAUAUAUUGCAUUAUAUAUUGAUGUGUGUAUCAAUAUAUACUGAUAUGUAUUACACUUACACAUACAAACACAUAAAUAAGAGGGGGUGAAAACCGUAGCCUUUGCAUUCUCUAUAGCCUCUACAGAGAGAUCCUAAGCAGCAAAAUCUUGGUGUUGUGAUGUACAGAAAUGGAGAAGAGUAUUAAACCAUAUUUAAGAAUACACUUUGUG